Molecule: non-coding RNA, 425 nt
Filed under: Tauraco erythrolophus (red-crested turaco)
Lineage: Eukaryota; Metazoa; Chordata; Aves; Musophagiformes; Musophagidae
Description: Eukaryotic large subunit ribosomal RNA
Rfam family: Eukaryotic large subunit ribosomal RNA
Source: Rfam by way of RNAcentral
GGUUAAGUGGCACCCAGUGGGCUUUACACCAGAGGGAAUGGUGAAAAAGCUCCAGUGCUUUUGCAGAUAUUUGUGUCAAAUGCUCCAUACCUGAGGUGUUCUGAGGCAAGCUCAGGGAGGACAGAAACUUAGGCAGCAUAAAGGGCAAAAGUACACUUAAUCUUGAUUUCCAGUGUAAUUACAGGACAUGCUAGUGUGGCCUCACUAUCUUCUGACUUUCUAGGUUUUAAGCAAGAGUUGUCAGAGAAGUCACCACAGAGAAAACCAUCUUGUGGCAGUCAACUAUUAGGGAAAUUUCUUCAACUCUUUGAUGUUGACUUUUCCUGCCACCACAAAACAGAAUUCACCAAGUGUUGAUUGAUUCAGCCAUUAGCAAUGAACAUGAGCUGGGUUUAGAUAGCCAUGAGACAAGUUAGUUUUAUCCU